GUGUUCCAGGAAUAAGCCAUGCACGUCUAAGUACAAACUAAAUGAUGGUGAAACUGCAAAUGGCUCAUUACAACGGUUAUGAUGUACCCGGGAGUUCCGAUGGAUAUUUCCAGUAACACUAGAACUAAUACAUGUCCCUGCGUUUAUUAGUUUCGCACAGUCCGUCGCUGAGUCAUGGUAAACAGUUGAUCGACUCGACGUCCCGGAACAGUUUCCGCCCCAUCAGCUUCGAUGGUUGGGUAUUGGCCUACCAUUGCAACAACGGGUAACGAGGAAUUAGGGUUUGAUUUCGGAGAGGGAGCCUGAGAAACGGCUACCACAUCUACGGAUGGCAGCAGGCGCGCAAAUUACCCAAUGCAGACACUGUGAGGUAGUGACGAGAAAUAAUAAAGCGGGACUUCUGUUUCGCUAUUAUAAUGAGGAAUAACCAAAGGUCAUUCCGAUUAGCAACUGAUGGGAAAGUCUGGUGCCAGCAGCCGCGGUAAUACCAGCGUCAGUAG
RNAcentral lists this ribosomal RNA (500 nucleotides) under uncultured Myrionecta. RNAcentral describes it as "SSU rRNA". It matches the Rfam family "Eukaryotic small subunit ribosomal RNA", at positions 33 to 597 of the family's 1831-position model. Lineage: Eukaryota; Ciliophora; Litostomatea; Cyclotrichida; Mesodiniidae. The record is from RNAcentral.